UGGGGGAUAUUGCACAAUGGGCGCAAGCCUGAUGCAGCGACGCCGCGUGGGGGAUGAAGGCCUUCGGGUUGUAAACUUCUUUUGCUCUGAACAAGGCGCACUUUGGGGUGUGUUGAGUGUAGGGGUUGAUUAGCGCCGGCUAACUACGUGCCAGCAGCCGCGGUAAUACGUAGGGCGCGAGCGUUGUCCGGAAUUAUUGGGCGUAAAGGGCUUGUAGGUGGCUGGUUGCGUCUGUCGUGAAAGCUCAUGGCUUAACUGUGGGUUUGCGGUGGGUACGGGGUAGCUUGAGUGCAGUAGGGGAGGCUGGAAUUCCUGGUGUAGCGGUGGAAUGCGCAGAUAUCAGGAGGAAUACCGGUGGCGAAGGCGGGUCUCUGGGCUGUUACUGACACUGAGGAGCGAUAGCAUGGGGAGCGAGCAGG
Molecule: ribosomal RNA, 419 nt
Filed under: bacterium
Lineage: Bacteria
Description: partial 16S ribosomal RNA
Rfam family: Bacterial small subunit ribosomal RNA
Source: RNAcentral